AGAUAAGUGGUACAGAAGUAAGAUUUGCAUCUAUGAUUAUCGCAAUGAAAUCAGCGGGUUACUGAGUGGCAGAUAGUAUCGAGGGUUCGAAUCCCUCCCUCACCGCCA
Molecule: transfer RNA, 108 nt
Filed under: Aeromonas caviae
Lineage: Bacteria; Pseudomonadati; Pseudomonadota; Gammaproteobacteria; Aeromonadales; Aeromonadaceae
Description: tRNA-Ser
Source: RNAcentral